GACGAACGCUGGCGGCGUGCUUAACACAUGCAAGUCGAACGGAAAGGCCCUGCUUUUGUGGGGUGCUCGAAUGGCGAACGGGUGAGUAACACGUGAGUAACCUGCCCUUGACUUUGGGAUAACUUCAGGAAACUGGGGCUAAUACCGGAUAGGAGCUCCUGCUGCAUGGUGGGGGUUGGAAAGUUUCGGCGGUUGGGGAUGGACUCGCGGCUUAUCAGCUUGUUGGUGGGGUAGUGGCUUACCAAGGCUUUGACGGGUAGCCGGCCUGAGAGGGUGACCGGCCACAUUGGGACUGAGAUACGGCCCAGACUCCUACGGGAGGCAGCAGUGGGGAAUAUUGCACAAUGGGCGGAAGCCUGAUGCAGCAACGCCGCGUGCGGGAUGACGGCCUUCGGGUUGUAAACCGCUUUCGCCUGUGACGAAGCGUGAGUGACGGUAAUGGGUAAAGAAGCACCGGCUAACUACGUGCCAGCAGCCGCGGUGAUACGUAGGGUGCGAGCGUUGUCCGGAUUUAUUGGGCGUAAAGGGCUCGUAGGUGGUUGAUCGCGUCGGAAGUGUAAUCUUGGGGCUUAACCCUGAGCGUGCUUUCGAUACGGGUUGACUUGAGGAAGGUAGGGGAGAAUGGAAUUCCUGGUGGAGCGGUGGAAUGCGCAGAUAUCAGGAGGAACACCAGUGGCGAAGGCGGUUCUCUGGGCCUUUCCUGACGCUGAGGAGCGAAAGCGUGGGGAGCGAACAGGCUUAGAUACCCUGGUAGUCCACGCUGUAAACGGUGGGUACUAGGUGUGGGGUCCAUUCCACGGGUUCCGUGCCGUAGCUAACGCUUUAAGUACCCCGCCUGGGGAGUACGGCCGCAAGGCUAAAACUCAAAGGAAUUGACGGGGCCCCGCACAAGCGGCGGAGCAUGCGGAUUAAUUCGAUGCAACGCGUAGAACCUUACCUGGGUUUGACAUGGAUCGGGAGCGCUCAGAGAUGGGUGUGCCUCUUUUGGGGUCGGUUCACAGGUGGUGCAUGGCUGUCGUCAGCUCGUGUCGUGAGAUGUUGGGUUAAGUCCCGCAACGAGCGCAACCCUUGUUCACUGUUGCCAGCACGUUAUGGUGGGGACUCAGUGGAGACCGCCGGGGUCAACUCGGAGGAAGGUGGGGAUGACGUCAAGUCAUCAUGCCCCUUAUGUCCAGGGCUUCACGCAUGCUACAAUGGCUGGUACAGAGAGUGGCGAGCCUGUGAGGGUGAGCGAAUCUCGGAAAGCCGGUCUCAGUUCGGAUUGGGGUCUGCAACUCGACCUCAUGAAGUCGGAGUCGCUAGUAAUCGCAGAUCAGCAACGCUGCGGUGAAUACGUUCCCGGGGCU
Molecule: ribosomal RNA, 1346 nt
Filed under: uncultured bacterium
Lineage: Bacteria
Description: bacterial SSU rRNA
Rfam family: Bacterial small subunit ribosomal RNA
Source: RNAcentral